Molecule: ribosomal RNA, 135 nt
Filed under: Castor canadensis (American beaver)
Lineage: Eukaryota; Metazoa; Chordata; Mammalia; Rodentia; Castoridae
Source: RNAcentral
GUCUACGGCCACACCACCCUGAACGCGCCCGAUCUCGUCUGAUCUCGGAAGCUAAGCAGGGUCGGGCCUGGUUAGUACUUGGAUGGGAGAAAUGAAGUUAAGAAAUAUUAUGAGAUUAAUGAAAAUUUGUAGGUA